This 304-nucleotide ribosomal RNA is filed under the name uncultured bacterium. RNAcentral's name for it is "partial 16S ribosomal RNA". It matches the Rfam family "Bacterial small subunit ribosomal RNA", at positions 506 to 807 of the family's 1533-position model. The record is from RNAcentral.
CAGCAGUAGCCACGGUAAUACGUAGGGUGCAAGCGUUAAUCGGAAUUACUGGGCGUAAAGCGUGCGCAGGCGGCUUUGCAAGACAGAUGUGAAAUCCCCGGGCUCAACCUGGGAACUGCAUUUGUGACUGCAUGGCUAGAGUACGGUAGAGGGGGAUGGAAUUCCGCGUGUAGCAGUGAAAUGCGUAGAUAUGCGGAGGAACACCGAUGGCGAAGGCAAUCCCCUGGACCUGUACUGACGCUCAUGCACGAAAGCGUGGGGAGCAAACAGGAUUAGAUACCCGCGUAGUCCCUGUCUCUUAUAC